RNAcentral lists this ribosomal RNA (440 nucleotides) under uncultured bacterium. RNAcentral describes it as "partial 16S ribosomal RNA". It matches the Rfam family "Bacterial small subunit ribosomal RNA", at positions 338 to 795 of the family's 1533-position model. The record is from RNAcentral.
CCUACGGGAGGCAGCAGUGGGGAAUAUUGCACAAUGGGGGCAACCCUGAUGCAGCGACGCCGCGUGAGUGAAGAAGUAAUUCGUUAUGUAAAGCUCUAUCAGCAGGGAAGAAAAUGACGGUACCUGAGUAAGAAGCCCCGGCUAACUACGUGCCAGCAGCCGCGGUAAUACGGAGGGGGCAAGCGUUAUCCGGAUUUACUGGGUGUAAAGGGAGCGUAGACGGCAGUGCAAGUCUGGAGUGAAAGGCGGGGGCACAACCCCCGGACUGCUCUGGAAACUGUACGGCUGGAGUGCAGGAGAGGUAAGUGGAAUUCCUGGUGUAGCGGUGAAAUGCGUAGAGAUUAGGAGGAACACCAGUGGCGAAGGCGGCUUACUGGACUGUAACUGACGUUGAGGCUCGAAAGCGUGGGGAGCAAACAGGAUUAGAUACCCCGGUAGUC